AUGAACGCUGGCGGCGUGCCUAAUACCUGCCAGUCGAGCGAACAGACGAGGAGCUUGCUCCUCUGACGUUAGCGGCGGACGGGUGAGUAACACGUGGAUAACCUACCUAUAAGACUGGGAUAACUUCGGGAAACCGGAGCUAAUACCGGAUAAUAUAUUGAACCGCAUGGUUCCAUAGUGAAAGACGGUUUUGCUGUCACUUAUAGAUGGAUCCGCGCCGCAUUAGCUAGUUGGUAAGGUAACGGCUUACCAAGGCAACGAUGCGUAGCCGACCUGAGAGGGUGAUCGGCCACACUGGAACUGAGACACGGUCCAGACUCCUACGGGAGGCAGCAGUAGGGAAUCUUCCGCAAUGGGCGAAAGCCUGACGGAGCAACGCCGCGUGAGUGAUGAAGGUCUUCGGAUCGUAAAACUCUGUUAUUAGGGAAGAACAAAUGUGUAAGUAACUAUGCACGUCUUGACGGUACCUAAUCAGAAAGCCACGGCUAACUACGUG
RNAcentral lists this ribosomal RNA (496 nucleotides) under uncultured bacterium. Its description in RNAcentral is "partial 16S ribosomal RNA". It matches the Rfam family "Bacterial small subunit ribosomal RNA", at positions 29 to 507 of the family's 1533-position model. The record is from RNAcentral.